UAUCCGGGAAUGAAGUUCUCCCGUAGCGUUUGCUAAAACCGCUUAAUAAGCUGAUGACUUCUGCAUU
RNAcentral lists this non-coding RNA (67 nucleotides) under human gut metagenome. RNAcentral describes it as "Fluoride riboswitch". The stretch from base 6 to 64 matches the Rfam family "Fluoride riboswitch aptamer (crcB RNA motif)", at positions 10 to 58 of the family's 64-position model. The record is from RNAcentral.